UCAUUAAGAAGCUAUGAACCAGCAUUAGCCUUUUAAGCUAAAGAAAGAGGGAAUCUCCCCUCCUUAAUGGU
This 71-nucleotide transfer RNA is filed under the name Melospiza georgiana. Its description in RNAcentral is "tRNA-Lys". The record is from RNAcentral. RNAcentral also lists the same sequence under 2 other names. Lineage: Eukaryota; Metazoa; Chordata; Aves; Passeriformes; Passerellidae.